Molecule: ribosomal RNA, 439 nt
Filed under: uncultured bacterium
Lineage: Bacteria
Description: partial 16S ribosomal RNA
Rfam family: Bacterial small subunit ribosomal RNA
Source: RNAcentral
CUACGGGUUGCACCAGUGAGGAAUAUUGCACAAUGGAGGAAACUCUGAUGCAGCAACGCCGCGUGGAGGAUGACGCAUUUCGGUGUGUAAACUCCUUUUAUGAGUCAAGAAAAUGACGGUAGCUCAUGAAUAAGCACCGGCUAACUCCGUGCCAGCAGCCGCGGUAAUACGGAGGGUGCAAGCGUUACUCGGAAUCACUGGGCGUAAAGGACGCGUAGGCGGGAUAUCAAGUCAGGUGUGAAAUCCUACAGCUUAACUGUAGAACUGCACUUGAAACUUCUAAUCUAGAGUAUGGGAGGGGGAGAUGGAAUUAGUGGUGUAGGGGUAAAAUCCGUAGAUAUCACUAGGAAUACCUAAAGCGAAGGCGAUCUCCUGGAACAUUACUGACGCUAAGGCGUGAAAGCGUGGGGAGCAAACAGGAUUAGAUACCCGAGUAGUC